RNAcentral lists this ribosomal RNA (91 nucleotides) under Escherichia coli. RNAcentral describes it as "partial 16S ribosomal RNA". It matches the Rfam family "Bacterial small subunit ribosomal RNA", at positions 1 to 90 of the family's 1533-position model. Lineage: Bacteria; Pseudomonadati; Pseudomonadota; Gammaproteobacteria; Enterobacterales; Enterobacteriaceae. RNAcentral also lists the same sequence under 4 other names. The record is from RNAcentral.
UUAAAUUGAAGAGUUUGAUCAUGGCUCAGAUUGAACGCUGGCGGCAGGCCUAACACAUGCAAGUCGAACGGUAACAGGGAUCAGCUUGCUG